UGUUGGUUAUGUGUGCCCAAGCAUUGAGGCAGUCAAAGUAGGCAAAUCCGCUUUGAUAAUGCUGGGAUGUGAUGGGGAGCGAAAUUUAGUAGCGAAGUAGCUGAUUUCACACUGUCAAGAAAAGUCUCUAUCGAGGUUAAAGGUACCCGUACCGCAAACCGACACAGGUGGGUGAGGAGAGUAUCCUAAGGCCAGCGAGAGAACUGUUGUUAAGGAACUCGGCAAAAUGACCCCGUAACUUAGGGAUAAGGGGUGCCACCAUCAGGUGGCCGCAGAGAAUAGGCCCAAGCGACUGUUUACCAAAAACAUAGGUUUCUGCUAAGUCGCAAGACGAUGUAUAGGAGCUGACGCCUGCCCGGUGCUGGAAGGUUAAGGGGAUCUGUUAGAGCAAUCGAAGCAGUGAACUUAAGCCCCAGUAAACGGCGGCCGUAACUAUAACGGUCCUAAGGUAGCGAAAUUCCUUGUCGGGUAAGUUCCGACCCGCACGAAAGGCGUAACGAUUUGGGCACUGUCUCAACAACAGACUCGGUGAAAUUGUAAUUCCGGUGAAGAUGCCGGAUACCUGCGACAGGACGGAAAGACCCCAUGGAGCUUUACUGUAGCUUGACAUUGGGUCUUGGUACUACAUGUACAGGAUAGGUGGGAGGCUUUGAAACCAGGACGCCAGUUUUGGCGGAGCCAUCCUUGGGAUACCACCCUUGUAGUACUGGGACUCUAACCAUAGGCCAUGAAUCUGGUCUUGGGACACUGUCAGGUGGGCAGUUUGACUGGGGCGGUCGCCUCCCAAAAGGUAACGGAGGCGCUCAAAGGUUCUCUCAGUACGGUCGGAAAUCGUACGUAGAGUGUAAAGGCAAAAGAGAGCUUGAUUGCAAGACAUACAGGUCGAGCAAGGAUGAAAAUCGGACUUAGUGAUCCGGUGGUUCUGCGUGGAAGGGCCAUCGCUCAACGGAUAAAAGCUACCCUGGGGAUAACAGGCUUAUCUCCCCCAAGAGUCCACAUCGACGGGGAGGUUUGGCACCUCGAUGUCGGCUCAUCACAUCCUGGGGCUGUAGUAGGUCCCAAGGGUUGGGCUGUUCGCCCAUUAAAGUGGUACGCGAGCUGGGUUCAGAACGUCGUGAGACAGUUCGGUCCCUAUCCGUCGCAGGCGUAGGAAAUUUGAGAAGACCUGUCCUUAGUACGAGAGGACCGGGAUGGACGUACCUCUGGUGUACCAGUUGU
This 1218-nucleotide ribosomal RNA is filed under the name Clostridioides difficile. Its description in RNAcentral is "partial 23S ribosomal RNA". It matches the Rfam family "Bacterial large subunit ribosomal RNA", at positions 1496 to 2724 of the family's 2925-position model. The record is from RNAcentral. Lineage: Bacteria; Bacillati; Bacillota; Clostridia; Peptostreptococcales; Peptostreptococcaceae.